Zonotrichia albicollis (white-throated sparrow) is the source of this 1438-nucleotide non-coding RNA. NCBI's taxonomy places the organism in Eukaryota, Metazoa, Chordata, Aves, Passeriformes, Passerellidae. The record is from RefSeq and is a predicted model, not a curated record.
ACAGGCUGCUUUGCAGUUAAAGGUGUUUGCUGAGUCAUUUCUCUUCCACAGGUUUCUGGGGCCUUGUCAACAAUGCAGGAAUAUCAACAUUUGGUGAGACAGGCUGGCUGCCUAUGGAGACAUAUGAAAAAUUUGCAGAUGUGAAUCUCCUUGGGAGCAUCAGGACAACCCUGGCAUUUCUUCCCCUUCUAAGGAAAUACAAGGGAGAGGAGGAAUGACCCUACAGAGGUGAACUAGAGACACCCAGCUUCCAGUUCCAGCUCUGCGGAGCCUCUGUGACCUUGGGCAGGAAACUUCAAGACGUAUUGUUUUCAUGUCCAGCAUCAUUGCCUAUUUUACUCUGGGAAAUGGCAUUUAUUCUAUGACCAAAGCAGCUAUUGAAAAAUUUUGUGAUGCUUUAAGACUGGAAAUGAAGAAGUUUGGUGUCCAGGUCUCUAUUAUCCAGCCAGGAAAUUAUGCACGCUCUACAAAAAUUCAGCCACCGCUCAGUGCCGAAGAGAUCUGGAGUGAGCUGAGCGAAGAGGAAAAGGCUGUUUACAACAAGGAGUACGUUCAAGAGCGGGCUAACUUUUUCAACAGCAUCCUUAGUGAGGGAAGCACUAAUGGCAAUGAGGUGGUCGACGCCAUGGUGGAUGCUCUAACAUCUCCUGCGCCCAAGGCACGGUACAUGGUGGCGAAGCUGAAGGAGAAGGCCCUGGUGUUGGUGUGUGCUUUGUUCCCGACUGCUGUGAUGGAUUCUGUUCUGUCUUAUGCUCUGAGCAAGGUAAAGCUUGCAUAGCCUGCAGUGGUGCUGCUCCCUGACUCAGGUGAGGCAGUUUAUCAAAUGUGAAAGGCAGAGCUGGACUGAAUGCUCCCGUGUGUCAGUACAGUGACUCCGAUUAACCAGUACAAACUCUGGGGAGUCUCCCUAGUCAGAACUGUCACUGACUGCUACAGAAAAACAUACAGGACCUGUGUAAAAUUAAAGCAUUUGUUUAAGUAACUUUAUCUCUUCCCUGUGGAAAAAUCCCAUCCACAUAAGCCACUUUAGUUAUUGCCUGGAAAAUUUAAUGCAUCAUUUUCUAAAGCAAUAGCAGGUUAUUGUGUUACAGCCAUGAUGCAGACAAAAUGGAGUGCAUCCACAGCGCAGCUGUACACCUGAAGUCAUUACAGCAGAGAGCAAAAGCCCUUGCUGGUAGUAACCUGAGUAGCCAUAUAUUCAGGGUGAUAGGAAGAGGUUAAUGGAAAAGUCAUAGAAAUGAGCACUGGACCUCAAAUACUUUGAAUGGAGUUAAAUGGCUGUAGCAAGUUAGGAAGUCUUGAAGCUCUGAGCAGUCUGGUUUAGUGAAAGGUGUUCCUGCCCACAAUAGGGGGGCUGGAAUUUUAUGACCUCUAAGAUCCCUUCCAACCCAAACCAUUCUGUGAUUCUAUGAACAAUAAAGUUGUAAUAUGAAAACAC